AGCCCUGCUCGGUCCAUAGAGGAACGUCAGGCGCUGGGAGAGUUUAAGUCGUGGAAGUGGUAGAAAGCGUUUCGGGUCGCGGAGGAGAUCCCUGCCAGUGUAGAGAAGCGUCCGCGGAAGCCAGGAAGUGAUGAGAGACCUGAACUCCUGCAGAGGGUACAGGAGGUGACUGUCAGGAGGCAAAGUGGAGAAGUACACACAGAUCUACCGGCUCAGCCAGGAGCCACCGUAUUGGGAAGCUUGAACAAUGUGCAAUUUCCCUAUUCUAAGUCUCGACAUAGAACAUCAUCAGGCAGGAAGAGAGCCAGAAAGCAUUUAUUGAGCUGGCUUCUGGACCAAGUGCUGGUGAUUCAGCUGUGAAUAACACUUCCUCUGGAGUGUUUCAGAUGAGACAAAUCAGGAAUCCAGGGAGAGACCCGUGUCAAGGAGGCUGCUCUCUCCAAGGGAAGACUUCUCUUCUCAGACCUGCUACAAACAGAAAUUUCAGGACUGCAGAAGCAGGGUAGGACUUCCUGGGGAGCAAGAUCCUUGCAAACACUUUCAUGGAGAUGAGACAGUGGACUCAGAGUCUGCAGGCUUUCCAGAUUGUCAGGAAACGUGAUUUCUGGAGGAGGAGCCAUAGUCUUGUAAAGGGAAACUAAAGGAAACACCCCCAAGGUUUUAGGAAAUGAAAGUGGAUCCAGCCUCCUUCCCUAGUCCCGAGAAUGCUUCAUUAUUAUUUUCCUGACCUUGCACUUUGCACUUUAUCAAAAUAUGAGUUCACUCUCUGCAUCAGUUUCUUAUAGCUGCCGUAACAAAUCACCACAUGCCUGGUGGUUUAACACAAUAGAAAUCUGUCUUCUCUCAGUUCAGGAGGCCAGAUGUCUGAAAUCAAGGGGACAGCAGGGUUGGUUUCCUCUGGAGACGCUGGGGGACACUAUUCUGUGGCUCUCUCCUCACUUCUGGUGGUUUCCAGCCAUCCUUGGCUCAUGUAGAUGCUGCAUGCCAGUAUCAGUCUCCAAAUUCACAUUGUCCUCUGCCUCUCUAUGUGUCUCCAAUAUUCCUCUCCCCUCUCUUGGAAGGAUACCAGUCCUAGAUCUGGGGCUACCCAAAACCCACGAUGAUCUCAUCUCAAGCUCCUUAAUUACAUCUGCAAAGAUCCUGUUUUCUUUCUUUCUUUCUCUCUCUCUCUCUCUUCUUUCUUUCUUUCUUUCUUUCAGAUCCUGUCUUCAAACAAGGUCACAUUCACAGUCUCCAGGAGUUAGAACUUGGAUGUAUUUUGGGGGAGGCAUGAUAUUCAACCCCCUGUGCCCUCCCUUCCAUUGCCCACAUCUGGAGGCUUUAUGCCAUCGGUGUCUUCUGAGCACUGGUAAAUGCGCUGUUUGACCUUCUUCGGAAACUAGACACUGGGACAGAAAGACACAGUAUCUUAACUCUUCCUGGGCCAGGGGUAAAACGAAAGUCCAGAAUAUCCAGCUCCAGGUCUCAAGAGUUUUCUUAGUAGAAUCUUUGACCAGAGGCUCAUCAAAGACGUGAGCCUUACCUACAAAGUAGUUAAGACAUUUUUAUAGAAGAAGGUGGGGCUACUUCAAACACACCUUUCUCGCUUUUUACAAUCCCUCUGGUCGUACUAUACUCAGCCUCUUGUAAACUGGAAUAAAUUAUUCACAGCUCUCCCAGUUAAAUGGAUGCUGUGUUCGGACUUCUUCCUGGCUAGCAGCAGAGCUCACCAGAGUCAAGAAGCCCAGAGAGGAAGUCCAGCUCCCAGCAUUUACCGAGGGUAACAAGGUUAAACUGUCCUCUGAGCUAUUCCUAAUGCUGAAUGACUAUUUCACACCUCUCUCCUCAAUAUUCAACUACUUCUCCUCAGUCCUCAAAUGUUAGCAGAUGUCCUUGCUUCUGUGAAAAAUACUGUGAUUCAGAAAUGAAUUUCCACACACUCCACCACCUAUCCACAUCUACGGCCCUACCCUCUGCCUUUCAAAACUCUGCUACCGUCGAUGAGUAUCUGUGCUCCUAAGAGAGCUAUGUUUAGCUGUGUCCAGAUUCCAUUCCCUCUUGUGUACCAAGGAUAUCACUUCUAUGACUUUCUGUCUCUUUCCUUCAUUAUCAGCUUUUCCCUCUUGCCUGGAUUAGUCUUAUCAACAAACAAACAUGCUGGAAUAUUUCCCAUCUUAAACAUGCACGUACAUGUACACACACACACACAGACACACAGACACACACCCACCCCUCUCUUUUGGUUCUCACAUCCCCCUCUGGCUAGCAUACAACUUCUCUACUCCAAACUCUGUUUAAAAAGUUGUCUAUACAGGCUAUCUCUGAUUUCUCUUUUCUGAUGAACUCACUCCCUAUCUUGAACCCCAGCUACAAAAUUGAUCCCCUCAAGGUCUUCAUUGACCUCCAAGUUGCUAAAUCCAAUGGCCCUUCCUCAGUCCUCACUUCCAUGAGCUUUCUUGUAGCAUUUGAUAAUUAAUCUCUUCCAGCUGCUAGGAGUACUUUCUGAACUUGGCUUUUGGGUCUCCACUCUCUCUUUUUCACAGGCCUCUCCUCAGUCUCCUUUGUUGGUUCCUUCUCGUUUUCUUGACCUCUGAAUGAUGGAACACUAUAGAGCUUCAGUGACCAGACGCCUUCUCUCUCUAAUCUCACCCAGUCUUGGGGAGAUGUUAGAUCGUCUCAUGCUGUUGGGGGGCGGGGUCCCACCUUUAUCCUUCAAGACCUCUGCACACUGAGGGCUGCUUACUGGGAACCUCACUUCUGCCCUUCUUCCCUGGGGCCUUUUAUUGUCCGUGGAAUACUGGACAGUACUGGAAGUACUGGACUGUCCUGUGGAGAACCUGGACAUGCUGGAGAGUUCAUGUUCCUCAGAACAAGCCCACAAUCAAAGAUAGAUGGCAAUCUGGUGGAUAAACAACUUAGCUUUCUGAUCCCCCAGGAUACCUUGAGGCCUAUUCUACACUCUUUCCCAGAAUUCCACAAUGGGGAUGAAUUUCAAUUGCCGACGAGGAUAACUUACUUCAUAAUGCACCUAUUAUUGACUUCCUUCCUCUUCUGGUCUCACUUCUUCUCUUCUGGGCAAUAAUUCCUGGACUUGCCUCCCAGAUAAACUGGUUGAACUCAAAUUCUUGUGUUUUUUUUUCCACUUUCUUUUUUUUUAAAUUUUAAUUUUUAAAAAUUUUUUUUCAGUGUACCAGAAUUCAUUGUUUAUGCACCACACCCAGUGCUCCAUGCAAUACAUGCCCUCCAUAAUACCCACCACCAGGCUCCCCCAACUUCCCACCCCCUGGCCCUUCAAAACCCUCAGAUUGUUUUUCAGAGUUCAUAGUCUCUCGUGGUUCAUCUCCUGCUCCAAUUUCCCUCAACUCCCUUCUCCUCUCCAUCUCCCCAUGUCCUCCGUGUUAUUUCUUAUGCUCCACAAAUAAGUGAAACCAUAUGAAGAUUGACUCUUUCUGCUUCACUUAUUUCACUCAGCAUAAUCUCUUCCAGUCCCAUCCAUGUUGAUACAAAAGUUGGGUAUUCAUCCGUUCUGAUGGAGGCACAAUACUCCGUAGUGUAUAUGGGCCACAUCUUCCUUAUCCAUUUGUCCGUUGAAGGGCAUCUUGGCUCUUUCCACAGUUUGGCAACCGUGGCCAUUGCUGCUAUGAACAUUGGGGUACAGAUGGCCCUUCUUUUCACUACAUUUGUAUCUUUGGGGUAAAUACCCAGUAUGCACUCAAAUUCUUACCAGAGUCUGCUUCUAGAGGAACCCAAAUGAAGACAAAUACUAUUUUCAUGCCAGUAAUUCCCAUAUUUAUAUCAUUCACCCCAACCUCCCCCAAAUUCCGGAAACAUAUAUCCAAUGGCCUUUCCUCACAGCUCUAUAUGGAGAUCCAGUCUCCAUUUCAAACUUCAUGUUACCACUGGUGAACUCCCGAUUUUCCCUCCAAACAGCACUUCUCCAGUUGAAGUCAUUUUUGACUUCACUCUUUUCUUUCACACCCACAUAUCACCCAACAACAUAAAAAUCUGUUGGUUUUACACUCAACAGAUAUACAAAAUCCUACCUCUCCUCAUCUAUCUCUUGGGCCCUCACUCAAGCUACGUUGCAGAGAUUAUUAAGAUAACUUCCCAACUGUUCUCUCUCUUCAUCUCUUGCUCCAUUAAAGUAUAUUUUCCUCACAGCAGCCACAAGGAUCCUUCAAAGCCAUUGUCACAUCAUGUUACUCCUUUGCUCAAAACUCAUCAAUGAUUUCAUCUCAGAGGCAAAAGGGAAGUCCAUAGCAUGGCAAAUAAAGUAUCAUCUGGUCUGCUGCCUGUCUUAACUUUUGAUCUCUUCUCCCACCAUUCUCUUGCUCAUUCUUCCAUUGUAGGAUCAUUAGCAAUAUGUUCUUCUUAAUAUACUAAGAGUGUUACCACCUAGGAUCUUUGCACUUCCUCCUGCAACCUAGAAUAUUCUUUGGGUUUGUUUUGUUUUGUUUUGUUUAGAACAUUCUUAUUCCAGAUAUCUACAUGAUUUGCCUCUUCAUACUUCAAAGUCCUUACUGAAAUGUCGUCUUAUUUAGAAGGACUUUGUUGGGCAUGAACCUGCAUGUUCUCUGAUCAUUCCCUUGCCCAACUUUGUUUUCUUCUACAGGCUGCUUUCCUCAGACUCCUACGUCAGCUGGCUUCUGGUUGGGUUCAGUCAGUGGGAGUGCCAAGAAAAGACUGGAGAGUGGGAGGGUGGAAGGGGAGGCGGGGUAUUUUGUCCUAUCUCAGGCUGCAUCUCCAGGCGGCAGUGAAUUUGCCCCAUGGCUCUAGUCCCUCUUGAAAUAGCUCCCAGGCAACUCUAGCCUUUGAGAUCUGAUAAUUCCAUAUAUUUCCUUUGUUCCUUCAGCCUAGGAAUGCUAGUGGCUUCCAGCCAUUGCUGAUUUCCAGAUUUCUCUAAUGUUAAUUAUUUGGCUUCUCAGGUCUUCCAGUACCCAAGUCUUUCCAAUAAAUUCCUCUCUUUUUAUUCUUCAGACCUAUUUCUGUUGUAUUCACUGGAUUCUGACUGGACAACUUAUAUCAGUUUCAGUCCCAGAAGGAAAUUUGUAAUUUGAGGAGAGCUUAAUAAAAGGACUGUUUACAUAA
Mustela lutreola (European mink) is the source of this 5067-nucleotide long non-coding RNA. RefSeq lists it as uncharacterized. The transcript is spliced from 4 exons. The record is from RefSeq and is a predicted model, not a curated record. NCBI's taxonomy places the organism in Eukaryota, Metazoa, Chordata, Mammalia, Carnivora, Mustelidae.